AGGCAUCAGGAUUGUUUUCUAAAUCUCCCCAGGUGGUUCCCAUGUGCAGGCAAAGUUGAGCACCACUGCCUUCAAGCACUCGGUGAACCCAAAACUGGUCGUAAUUCAAACCAUGACUUCUCAUACUUGAGCAUGACCUCUAUAAAGAGCUUAAAUUCACGGCUCUUCCCAAACAAUCCAGCUCAAAAAUGGUGGUGUUCUGAAUGCAAGUAGUAUCCUGAAAAGAAUCACGUUUUUCCCCAAGCAUAUCUGUGUGGGAGCUUUAAACAAAAGUAAAAGCCUCAUUGCAAUCCCUCCCUCCAGCCACUCUAUUCGCUCCAUGGAACCUGCGUUGUGUGUGUCCUGAUUGAUGGUAUUUCUCCUUCUUUCCUUGGGAGACAUGAGUCCUUUCUGCUGCCAGUAGAGCUCCCAGUACAUUUAUAUAAGAUUAAUUGAUGGCAUAUGAUCAUCUCGUCUCAGAAAGUCAAGUGGCUUCCAAAUGGAGAGAAUCCUUGAAAGGACACUGGAGGCAGUGUCUGAGUAGUUGUAUAGUUCAGGCUUGACAGAACUGCUUGCUGAAUUUAAUGCGUCCAUUGUGUCCACGUCAACAAUAAGGAAUCGGAGACGUUGUGCAUUUCCACAGUGGUUCAUCUGUUUUGGCUGAAACUCAGUUAAACAAUGGUUAACUCAAACUCUUUAUCUGAUUUACUUCUCAAUCAUUUUUUCCCGGACUUAGCUAGCUAUUUUAGCUGUAACUGGAGAAUUAGUUGUCUAAGCUGACUGAACCCAUUAAAGAGUAGGACUUUUUAACACUUAAAUUAAUUUAUUUGUUGUUGGUUCCUCUUUAUGUUUUAAUUUUAUUUUUAAUAAAAAUUGUACAUAUUUAGACAUUGAUAAUGACAUGUUCAGAGUGUUUUAAAAGAAGUUUCGAUGAAUUCUAAUUAUUUUGGAUAAUAACGAAUAUCAAUUUGUAGAAAUUACUUAAAAAUAUAUUUUCUAGCUCUGAUGAUGUGUCAAGAAUAUUUUGAAAGAGAAGUUUUUGAUAAAUUCUAAUUAUUUUGUAUCUAAUAAAUGAAUAUUUUUUGUGGAAAUGGUUUAAAAGUAUACAUUCAGUUCUCUGUGGCUACAAUACACUUGAUUUACAAACAAGAGAGUACUCAUAUGUUAAUAUUCACAUAUAAUGUAUGAAAGUUUAUGUGAAUUAUUGAAAUAUGAUACGUCUUUAAAUGAAUGUACUGUGCUCUCAAACUGGAACAAAGUAUUUGCAAAUGGAAUUAGUAUAAAAUGAUGAAAUUUUUUUGUAGACUAGUCAAGAAAUAAAUAUCAACAUCUUACAUUGUAAAAAUUUGAUCUAAAUAUUAUAAAUUUCAUCUAAAUACUUCAUAUUUGCUUCACAGGAAAUCUCUUUUGGAUUGGUUUCACACAUCAAUUCUAAAAUUUUAUACCUCUUCAAAUGUAACCUUUUUAAGGGAAAACAAUCAUUAAUAGGAGCAAAGAGAGCUUUAUGAAUAAAUGCUAAAAGAAGGUAGCUUCAAAAAUAAAGUAGCAUUUUAAAGACCAUAGAAUUCAUUCAACUGUAUUCUUAAAUUUUCUUAAAUCCAAGGAACUGAUCAAAGUUUUAUUAGUUUUAUGGAUUUUUCAUAUAGUCCACAAAUAGCUAAACAAAAGAAAGGAAAAUCAAUAACUUAGUAAUUUGACACUACUUCCUUCUGAAACAUAGGAAACUUUUAAUAAUUAACUUGCCCUGAUAAUCUGCCACAUUGUACACAAUCAUUAUGUCAAUCUAAAUUAAAAAUGGUCAGUAGUCCUACCAAAGUGGUGUGUUUAGAAUGAUAUAAACUAGUUAAAUAUCUUGAAGAUACAUUAUUGGGAAGCACUGAUAUAAAAACAGAAAUAGGCCAAUGGAACACAACAGAGAGCCCAGAAAUAAACACACACAAAUAUAUGGAUGAGAGUGCCAAGAAAACUUUAUGGAGAAAGGAUAGUCUCUCCAACAAAUGGUGUUUGGAAAACUGGACAUACACACACAAAGCAAUGAAUAGGAACCAUUAUCUUACACCAUGCACAAAAACAAACUCAAAGUGGAUUAAAAACUUAAACAUAAAAACUGAAACUAUAAAACCCCCAUAAGGAAACAUAGGGGAAAAGCUUCAUGACAUUGGUUUUGGCAAUGAUUUUCUGAAUAUAACACCUUAAAAGCACAAGCAACAAAAGCAAAAUUAGACAAGUGGAAUUUCAUUAAACUAAAAAGCUUCUGCACAGCAAAGGAAACAGUCAAGAGAGUGAAAAGGCAACUUACAGAAUAGGGGAAAAUAUUUGCAAACCAUGUGUCUCAUAAGGGGCUAACAUCUAAAAUUCACACAACUCAAUACAAACAAACAAAAAACAACCCAAUUAAAAAGUGGGCAAAGGACUUGAAUAGAUAUUCUACAAAGAAGAUAUACAA
This is a long non-coding RNA of Equus caballus (horse), 2425 nucleotides long. The record is from Ensembl. NCBI's taxonomy places the organism in Eukaryota, Metazoa, Chordata, Mammalia, Perissodactyla, Equidae.